UACGAAGGGGGCUAGCGUUGCUCGGAAUUACUGGGCGUAAAGCGCACGUAGGCGGCUUUCUAAGUCGGGGGUGAAAUCCUGGAGCUCAACUCCAGAACUGCCUUCGAUACUGGAGAGCUCGAGUCCGGGAGAGGUGAGUGGAACUGCGAGUGUAGAGGUGAAAUUCGUAGAUAUUCGGAAGAACACCAGUGGCGAAGGCGACUCGCUGGACAGGUAUUGACGCUGAGGUGCGAAAGCGUGGGGAGCAAACAGGGUAUAAGCAACCGAGUACGUCCAGACCA
Molecule: ribosomal RNA, 281 nt
Filed under: uncultured bacterium
Lineage: Bacteria
Description: partial 16S ribosomal RNA
Rfam family: Bacterial small subunit ribosomal RNA
Source: RNAcentral